This 308-nucleotide long non-coding RNA is filed under the name Phasianus colchicus (ring-necked pheasant). RNAcentral describes it as "lncRNA (ENSPCLG00000009457.1)". The record is from RNAcentral. Lineage: Eukaryota; Metazoa; Chordata; Aves; Galliformes; Phasianidae.
CUUGAACCUGUUCUCAGGUGCAGAAUGGACCAGGCAGCUCACCACUAGCAUUAACUUCAACCUCCAAGUGUUGAGUACCUCAACAUCUCGACCAUGCAGGGCAUUGCACUGAUGCUCCCUGUAAACAGAUCACUGCUGGGAGGCACCAGGAGAAAAAAGGUGUUCCCAAUGAUCUCUGCGGCUUGUAUGGAGCCUCUAUUCUGGUCCCUGUGACCUGCUGGCGAUGUCACCUUAGGCAGUGAUGCUGAGCCCAUGAUGAUGCUCUCGCCUUUGCCAAGGACCAGGUGACCUCAUCAUCACUGCUGUCC